UGGCGAACGGGUGAGUAACAUAUCGGAACGUACCGAGUAAUGGGGGAUAACUAAUCGAAAGAUUAGCUAAUACCGCAUAUUCUCUGAGGAGGAAAGCAGGGGACCUUCGGGCCUUGCGUUAUUCGAGCGGCCGAUAUCUGAUUAGCUGGUUGGUGGGGUAAAGGCCUACCAAGGCGACGAUCAGUAGCGGGUCUGAGAGGAUGAUCCGCCACACUGGGACUGAGACACGGCCCAG
RNAcentral lists this ribosomal RNA (235 nucleotides) under uncultured Neisseria sp. RNAcentral's name for it is "partial 16S ribosomal RNA". It matches the Rfam family "Bacterial small subunit ribosomal RNA", at positions 96 to 334 of the family's 1533-position model. Lineage: Bacteria; Pseudomonadati; Pseudomonadota; Betaproteobacteria; Neisseriales; Neisseriaceae. The record is from RNAcentral.